GUUCUGCCCGGAUGGAAGCUGCGGCCGCGGAGUGAUGGUGGCCUCAGCGAAGAUGGGCCGGGCAGGGACCAUGGCGGUGGCAGCAGAGGUGGCAGGGGCGGGGCGGCUGGCGGUAGAGGAGGCUGUGGUCCUCAGGGGGCUGUAGGUGGAGGUAUGGCUCGGGCCAGCAGCGGGAACGGCAGCGAGGAGGCCUGGGGGGCACUUCGGGCGCCGCAACAGCAGCCCUUCAGAUAUUUCAACACUCCUCUCAGCAUCCUCCACUUCCCCCAUCUCUCCAAGCUGAACUUGGUUCACAGGGUGGGAUUGUGUAUGUGCAUGCAGGAGGUGGGGGUGGACAGUGCCCUGGGCUGGAAUCCCCCUUAGUUCUAAGUGCCUCCUUGCCCGCAGCUUCGAGAGCUGUGCCCAGGAGUGAACAACCAGCCCUAUCUCUGUGAGAGUGGUCACUGCUGCGGGGAGACUGGCUGCUGCACCUACUACUAUGAGCUCUGGUGGUUCUGGCUGCUCUGGACUGUCCUCAUCCUCUUUAGCUGCUGUUGCGCCUUCCGCCACCGACGAGCUAAACUCAGGCUGCAACAACAGCAGCGGCAGCGUGAAAUCAACUUGUUGGCCUAUCAUGGGGCAUGCCAUGGGGCUGGUCCUUUCCCUACCGGUUCACUGCUUGACCUUCGCCUCCUCAG
This 677-nucleotide small RNA is filed under the name Pan troglodytes (chimpanzee). Its description in RNAcentral is "processed transcript". The record is from RNAcentral. Lineage: Eukaryota; Metazoa; Chordata; Mammalia; Primates; Hominidae.